UAGCCAGCAGGUGCUUGAUUGCGGCAGCCAUUUUAAAUGCUGGCUGCCUAUAUAAACACAGCAGUUUGCUGCUGGCAGCCCAAGCAGAAACAUUGCCUGGCUGAAAGGCUGUAUGAAACAUCUCACAGGUGCCUCUGGGAUUUGUAGUCCACAGUUGGAGCCAUGAGUAAGUUUGAGGCAGCUCACUGCAAUACGGUGAAGGGAGCUCAGGGGGCUAGAUCCAAAGGCUCUGAAGGCUGGAUCUGGCCUGCUAUCUGUAAGUUGUCAUGUCCUGAGUAGCUGCAUUUUAUAUGGACCAGAAGGGACAAUAUGCUUGUUCAGGGUGAAGCUGGGAAAAAGAGCAAAAGGAGAUUAUGAGAGCUCUAACUGUGGGGGUGAAAAGAAAAAAGAUCUUUAAAAUGUUGUGGGAAAGAAAUGGUAAAUAAAAGGUUAACUGCAUAUAGCGGUGAACAGACCUCUACUGUUCAAACCAUAGAAUGACAGUAAAUUCUUUGUUUUAGGAAUAUGGAAAUCAGGUGUUAUGCUUAAUUUACUCAAUUUGGGGGAUAUACAAGGUUCUAUCUGCACUACAAAUACAGCUAAGUUAUAGGAUCAGGUUAUAACAUGGACAAGGCUUUAACCAGAGCAGAAUGUCCCUAAAAUUAUGCAACAGGAAAUAGCAAUUCGAAGUCAACAUGCCAGUAGACAGCAAAACAGAUCAACUGCAAAUGAAGACGUACCUCAAAAGCAAAACCUGUCCAAGAUGAAUGGGACAUUUGUUUUGUGUGACCGUCAUAAUCCGACUGGUGUCCAGAAGUCUGAGAUUAUUAUAACAAUGACACAGCAGUGGAUUGAAUUUCCUCAAUGACAAAUGAAAGCAGGAGAGAAUGGAAAUAAGUGUACUCAAUGUCAAUUCGAGUGAGUAACAGUGUUACACAGUAUAAUAAAUGCUGGCAUUCUCUGCAUUCCACGUUUUAUUUUUAACCAUAGAGGAUACUUAGUUCUUAACAUUUGUGGUUGACGGAAUAGAUUCACACAAUAUACAUGAAACCCAAAGUAGAUGGGAAUUGAGUCACAAAGGAAGAUUUUAUUUGCAGAUGUGAUGGUAAGGGAAGAUUGAAGAUGGCAGUAUACACCAGACGUUGUAAGUCUGUUAAACUGUUUACUGAAUUUAGUAUGUAUGAACUGAGGAAAAUGAUCUGGAUAAUUAUGCUUUGUGGUAGAUAUGGAUAUCACUAUAAAAGGAACAUUGCUGAGGCUAGAAAUUUCA
Long non-coding RNA from Alligator mississippiensis (American alligator), 1249 nucleotides. RefSeq lists it as uncharacterized. The record is from RefSeq and is a predicted model, not a curated record. NCBI's taxonomy places the organism in Eukaryota, Metazoa, Chordata, Crocodylia, Alligatoridae. The transcript is spliced from 3 exons.